AAAUUGAAGAGUUUGAUCAUGGCUCAGAUUGAACGCUGGCGGCAGGCCUAACACAUGCAAGUCGAACGGUAACAGGAAGCAGCUUGCUGCUUCGCUGACGAGUGGCGGACGGGUGAGUAAUGUCUGGGAAACUGCCUGAUGGAGGGGGAUAACUACUGGAAACGGUGGCUAAUACCGCAUAACGUCGCAAGACCAAAGAGGGGGACCUUCGGGCCUCUUGCCAUCAGAUGUGCCCAGAUGGGAUUAGCUGGUUGGUGAGGUAACGGCUCACCAAGGCGACGAUCCCUAGCUGGUCUGAGAGGAUGACCAGCCACACUGGAACUGAGACACGGUCCAGACUCCUACGGGAGGCAGCAGUGGGGAAUAUUGCACAAUGGGCGCAAGCCUGAUGCAGCCAUGCCGCGUGUAUGAAGAAGGCCUUCGGGUUGUAAAGUACUUUCAGCGGGGAGGAAGGUGUUGUGGUUAAUAACUGCAGCAAUUGACGUUACCCGCAGAAGAAGCACCGGCUAACU
This 512-nucleotide ribosomal RNA is filed under the name Salmonella enterica. RNAcentral describes it as "bacterial SSU rRNA". It matches the Rfam family "Bacterial small subunit ribosomal RNA", at positions 1 to 502 of the family's 1533-position model. Lineage: Bacteria; Pseudomonadati; Pseudomonadota; Gammaproteobacteria; Enterobacterales; Enterobacteriaceae. The record is from RNAcentral. RNAcentral also lists the same sequence under 1 other name.